This is a non-coding RNA of Podarcis lilfordi (Lilford's wall lizard), 80 nucleotides long. The record is from the annotation of a GenBank genome assembly. NCBI's taxonomy places the organism in Eukaryota, Metazoa, Chordata, Lepidosauria, Squamata, Lacertidae.
GGCUGUGGCUCAGUGGGAGAGCAUCUGCUUUGAAUUCAGAAGGUCCCAGGUUCAAUCUAUAGCAUCUCCAGGCAGGGCUG